This 556-nucleotide long non-coding RNA is filed under the name Homo sapiens (human). RNAcentral's name for it is "long non-coding RNA NONHSAT159975.1". The record is from RNAcentral. Lineage: Eukaryota; Metazoa; Chordata; Mammalia; Primates; Hominidae.
CAGGGAACCCCGGCCCCCGCCGCGCCUGCCCCUUCUCCCUUAUUGGGCGUUUUGCCGGGAAGGCUCAUGGACGUCUCACUCGCACGGGUGUUUGGCCGUUUUCUCGCUCUCGUUUUGGGUUUUCUGUUAAACUGCGGUCCCUUUGCCUCGGUCCUGGUGCAGCUGCUGCUUGGGUUUUCCAUCCUCCUGAGACCACCGGUGCAAUUCCCAAUUCCCAUCUCAACGCCACCGCCCACCCGGACGCCGCUGGGCUCAGCCCUGGGCCCGCUCGUCCCGGUAUCUCACGCUCCCUGACCCGGCCUCAAUGUCCUGACCACUCGGUGCAGCCGGAGACGCCGGGGUCCAGCACGUGCUCGGAAGCCUGCUGCUCCCACAGGGUCCCCAGCACAGGGGAGGAAAUGGAAGCUCGGACAGAUGGACUUGCUACUGGGCACGCAGAAGCCGGCUAGCAUUUGCAGACAGCCUGACCUUGGAGCCUGCGCUUGAACACCUUCCUCCACUGCUUCUGAGAACCCAGCAGUUUCCAACGGCAGCCUCCCUUCAGAAGGAAAAUACA